AUUUUCACACUGUCUUCAGUGAGGAGCAAGGGCGGGCGUCCGGCAUGCUGUUGGAAAGUUCUACCACUUCACUACUGACUGAUUAUGCAGUGACAGAGCUCAGUCCAGGUCUUCGACUGAGCAUGAUGAGCGCUCUGCAGGAAGUGUCUACACAGUCUAGCAGCACAUGUUUGUUUCUGAGCAUGUCUUGUUGAAUGCUGCUCAUUAUAUUGGCCUGAUUGCAGAGCCCAGCAUGGGAUUCUGAUCAGAUUGAACUCAUCAGUUAUAUAAAGAAUAAAUGAUUUAACAUAAAAGCCAUAAUACAGAGAGUCACAGCAUGCAUAUCAGUGGACACUGGAGAAUGUCAUGCACUCUUGAGUUUGACAAUGCCUUAUGUUUCUGCUGAGACAAAGUACUCAAUAAUGAAAAACAUCCCAGAUGUGUCAGGACUGUCCUGUGACCAAGUCACGCAAGGACUCGGAAAGCUUCUUCAGAAAAACAGCUGCAGAGAUAACACAGAGCAAUCACUGUUCAACAAGGAUUUCUUCAAGAUGUCAUAUUUCUGGUUGGUCCUGAAGGAGAAGAGUAGAGUAUCGCUUACACAUGCCCAUGAAACAUAAAUAUCUGGUUGCAUGUGAGAUGUCCUGGACCAGAGAUCCACAAGCAGACAUGGAGGUGUGUCAGACACAUGGGUGUUAUGACAGGAAUGCUCUCUCUUGUGCUUGCG
RNAcentral lists this long non-coding RNA (706 nucleotides) under Mus spicilegus (steppe mouse). Its description in RNAcentral is "lncRNA (ENSMSIG00000022174.1)". Lineage: Eukaryota; Metazoa; Chordata; Mammalia; Rodentia; Muridae. The record is from RNAcentral.